Non-coding RNA from Copidosoma floridanum, 84 nucleotides. The record is from the annotation of a RefSeq genome assembly. NCBI's taxonomy places the organism in Eukaryota, Metazoa, Arthropoda, Insecta, Hymenoptera, Encyrtidae.
GUCAGGUUGGCCGAGUGGUCUAAGGCGUUGGACUUAAGUUCCAAUUCCCAUACGGGAGCGUGGGUUCGAACCCCACACCUGGCA